Molecule: ribosomal RNA, 501 nt
Filed under: uncultured bacterium
Lineage: Bacteria
Description: partial 16S ribosomal RNA
Rfam family: Bacterial small subunit ribosomal RNA
Source: RNAcentral
AUUGAACGCUGGCGGCAUGCCUUACACAUGCAAGUCGAACGCGAAAGCGGGGGCAACCCUGCAAGUAGAGUGGCGAACGGGUGAGUAACACAUCGGAACGUACCCAGGAGUGGGGGACAACCUCGAGAAAUCGAGGCUAAUACCGCAUACGUCCUGAGGGAGAAAGCGGGGGAUCGCAAGACCUCGCGCUCAUGGAGCGGCCGAUGUCCGAUUAGCUAGUUGGCGGGGUAAUAGGCAACCAAGGCGACGAUCGGUAGCUGGUUUGAGAGAACGACCAGCCACACUGGGACUGAGACACGGCCCAGACUCCUACGGGAGGCAGCAGUGGGGAAUUUUGGACAAUGGGGGCAACCCUGAUCCAGCCAUGCCGCGUGAGUGAAGAAGGCCUUCGGGUUGUAAAGCUCUUUCGGCCGGAACGAAAUCGGGUACGUGAAUAACGGAUCUGGAUGACGGUACUGGAAGAAGAAGCACCGGCUAACUACGUGCCAGCCGCCGCGGUAA